CCUACGGGAGGCAGCAGUGGGGAAUAUUGCGCAAUGGGCGAAAGCCUGACGCAGCAACGCCGCGUGGGGGAUGAAGGCCUUCGGGUUGUAAACCUCUUUCAGCAGGGAAGAAGCGAAAGUGACGGUACCUGCAGAAGAAGCACCGGCUAACUACGUGCCAGCAGCCGCGGUAAUACGUAGGGUGCAAGCGUUGUCCGGAUUUAUUGGGCGUAAAGAGCUCGUAGGCGGUUAGUCACGUCGGAUGUGAAAUCCCGGAGCUUAACUCCGGGCCUGCAUUCGAUACGGGCUGACUCGAGUGUUGUAGGGGAGACUGGAACUCCUGGUGUAGCGGUGAAAUGCGCAGAUAUCAGGAAGAACACCGGUGGCGAAGGCGGGUCUCUGGGCAACUACUGACGCUGAGGAGCGAAAGCGUGGGGAGCAAACAGGAUUAGAUACCCUGGUAGUCCACGCCGUAAACGGUGGGCGCUAGGUGUGGGGAACAUUCCACGUUCUCUGCGCCGCAGCUAACGCAUUAAGCGCCCCGCCUGGGGAGUACGGCCGCAAGGCUAAAACUUAAUGAAUUGACGG
This 567-nucleotide ribosomal RNA is filed under the name uncultured bacterium. RNAcentral's name for it is "bacterial SSU rRNA". It matches the Rfam family "Bacterial small subunit ribosomal RNA", at positions 338 to 916 of the family's 1533-position model. The record is from RNAcentral.